This is a long non-coding RNA of Clupea harengus (Atlantic herring), 738 nucleotides long. RefSeq lists it as uncharacterized. Lineage: Eukaryota; Metazoa; Chordata; Actinopteri; Clupeiformes; Clupeidae. The record is from RefSeq and is a predicted model, not a curated record. The transcript has 3 exons.
CCUGCUGAGUUAAAAUUUAGCACUGCUCCCACCCCUCCUCAUUUAUGUCAAGUCACGCUGGAAAGGCGCACAGGAUAAAUAAUCCCCUGAACGUUUCUCGGAAAUCAGACAAUUUUAGGAAAGCGGCAUUCAGUUUAAUUUUCAGUUUUCCAGCAUAAAAGCAGCGACGCUCUCUCCACAAUCUCGACAGACUCCUAGUCGACAGUCAGAGUGAGCCUCAAGUGACAAACCAGCUGGCACCAUACAAAGGCAACAUGGCAGCUGGGUACACAUAUAAAGAUUUUAAACUGGUCAUCCAUGAUCCUUUCGUGAAGUGUUCUCUUUGUGAUUAUGUCACACUGCCCUGUCACCUCUCACCUGAAACCAGUGCUGUUGCCAUGGAGAUCAGGUGGUUUAAGGGCACAGACUGUAUCUACCUGUAUAAGAAUGGCCAUGUGACUGUGAGGGAGGACUAUGAGGGCCGAGUGAGUGUGAACACCCUGGAGCUGCAGAGAGGAGACGCGUCUCUGACACUGAGAGUGAGCAGAGAGGAAGAUAAAGGACUGUACACAUGCCAGGUCAUCAGUGGAGAACACAAGGAGGAGGGAAGAGUCCGUUUGCUGCCAAGAAGUAAGUUGUUUCUGUUUCUCUGCUAUAAAGAGCUCAGUGGUGUCAUUCAUGCUGCUCAGACUUCCAUACUGUACACUUACACCCUCUCUCGUCUUCUGUUUUAAAACGGACACACACACACACACACAC